RNAcentral lists this transfer RNA (83 nucleotides) under Anaerolineae bacterium. RNAcentral's name for it is "tRNA-Leu". It matches the Rfam family "tRNA". Rfam says of the family: Transfer RNA (tRNA) molecules are approximately 80 nucleotides in length. Their secondary structure includes four short double-helical elements and three loops (D, anti-codon, and T loops). Further hydrogen bonds mediate the characteristic L-shaped molecular structure. tRNAs have two regions of fundamental functional importance: the anti-codon, which is responsible for specific mRNA codon recognition, and the 3' end, to which the tRNAs corresponding amino acid is attached (by aminoacyl-tRNA synthetases). tRNAs cope with the degeneracy of the genetic code in two manners: having more than one tRNA (with a specific anti-codon) for a particular amino acid; and 'wobble' base-pairing, i.e. permitting non-standard base-pairing at the 3rd anti-codon position. Lineage: Bacteria; Bacillati; Chloroflexota; Anaerolineae. The record is from RNAcentral.
GGGGCGGUGGCGAAAUGGUAGACGCAGCGGACUUAAAAUCCGCCGGAGGCAACUCCGUGUGGGUUCGACUCCCACCCGCCCUA